RNAcentral lists this ribosomal RNA (532 nucleotides) under uncultured fungus. RNAcentral describes it as "SSU rRNA". It matches the Rfam family "Eukaryotic small subunit ribosomal RNA", at positions 109 to 644 of the family's 1831-position model. The record is from RNAcentral. Lineage: Eukaryota; Fungi.
GUUAUCGUUUAUUUGAUAGUACCUUACUACUUGGAUAACCGUGGUAAUUCUAGAGCUAAUACAUGCUGAAAACCCCAACUUCGGGAGGGGUGUAUUUAUUAGAUAAAAAACCAACGCCCUUCGGGGCUUCUUGGUGAUUCAUGAUAACUUCACGGAUCGCAUGGCCUUGCGCCGGCGACGGUUCAUUCAAAUUUCUGCCCUAUCAACUUUCGAUGGUAAGGUAUUGGCUUACCAUGGUUUCAACGGGUAACGGGGAAUUAGGGUUCGAUUCCGGAGAGGGAGCCUGAGAAACGGCUACCACAUCCAAGGAAGGCAGUAGGCGCGCAAAUUACCCAAUCCCGACACGGGGAGGUAGUGACAAUAAAUACUGAUACAGGGCUCUUUUGGGUCUUGUAAUUGGAAUGAGUACAAUUUAAACCUCUUAACGAGGAACAAUUGGAGGGCAAGUCUGGUGCCAGCAGCCGCGGUAAUUCCAGCUCCAAUAGCGUAUAUUAAAGUUGUUGCAGUUAAAAAGCUCGUAGUUGAAACUUGG